UACGGGGGGGGCAAGCGUUGUUCGGAAUUACUGGGCGUAAAGGGCUGGUAGGCGGCCAACUAAGUCGGAUGUGAAAUCCCCAGGCUUAACCUGGGAACUGCAUCCGAUACUGGUCGGCUUGAAUCCGGGAGAGGGAUGCAGAAUUCCAGGUGUAGCGGUGAAAUGCGUAGAUAUCUGGAGGAAUACCGGUGGCGAAGGCGGCAUCCUGGACCGACAUUGACGCUGAUGAGCGAAAGCUAGGGGAGCAAACGGG
This 253-nucleotide ribosomal RNA is filed under the name uncultured bacterium. RNAcentral describes it as "partial 16S ribosomal RNA". It matches the Rfam family "Bacterial small subunit ribosomal RNA", at positions 524 to 776 of the family's 1533-position model. The record is from RNAcentral.